RNAcentral lists this ribosomal RNA (433 nucleotides) under uncultured bacterium. Its description in RNAcentral is "partial 16S ribosomal RNA". It matches the Rfam family "Bacterial small subunit ribosomal RNA", at positions 29 to 507 of the family's 1533-position model. The record is from RNAcentral.
AACGAACGCUGGCGGCAUGCCUAACACAUGCAAGUCGAACGAGACCUUCGGGUCUAUUGGCGCACGGGUGCGUAACGCGUGGGAACCUGCCCUUAGGUUCGGAAUAACUCCCCGAAAGGGGUGCUAAUACCGGAUAAUGUCUUCGGACCAAAGAUUUAUCGCCUUUGGAUGGGCCCGCGUUGGAUUAGCUAGUUGGUAGGGUAAAAGCCUACCAAGGCGAGGAUCCAUAGCUGGUCUGAGAGGAUGAGCAGCCACACUGGGACUGAGACACGGCCCAGACUCCUACGGGAGGCAGCAGUGGGGAAUAUUGGACAAUGGGCGAAAGCCUGAUCCAGCAAUGCCGCGUGAGUGAUGAAGGCCUUAGGGUUGUAAAGCUCUUUUAACCGGGAUGAUAAUGACAGUACCGGGAGAAUAAGCGCCGGCUAACUCCGUG